RNAcentral lists this ribosomal RNA (253 nucleotides) under uncultured bacterium. Its description in RNAcentral is "partial 16S ribosomal RNA". It matches the Rfam family "Bacterial small subunit ribosomal RNA", at positions 524 to 776 of the family's 1533-position model. The record is from RNAcentral.
UACGUAGGGGGCAAGCGUUGUUCGGAAUUACUGGGCGUAAAGCGCACGUAGGCGGACAUUUAAGUCAGGGGUGAAAUCCCAGAGCUCAACUCUGGAACUGCCUUUGAUACUGGGUGUCUUGAGUAUGGAAGAGGUGAGUGGAAUUCCGAGUGUAGAGGUGAAAUUCGUAGAUAUUCGGAGGAACACCAGUGGCGAAGGCGGCUCACUGGUCCAUUACUGACGCUGAGGUGCGAAAGCGUGGGGAGCAAACAGG